This is a long non-coding RNA of Oncorhynchus tshawytscha (Chinook salmon), 2758 nucleotides long. The record is from Ensembl. NCBI's taxonomy places the organism in Eukaryota, Metazoa, Chordata, Actinopteri, Salmoniformes, Salmonidae.
CAUUGUUGAUGUCUUGUGUGUGUAUUCUCAUCACUAUAAGACAACGUGAGGUCGGUGUGUAGAGUGGUGGGAUCUUGGAGAAGUCUGAGGAUGGUGGGAGAAAGGGAGAGAACAGAGUGAUAUAGAUGGAAUAGCAGAGAGAGAGAGAGAGAGAGAGAGAGAGAGAGAGAACAAGGAGAGCAGAGGCAGAGGAGGGAGCCCGUAGCUCCACGUGACGGUUGUUCAUACCAUGGCAAACAGUCUCAGCAAUGUUAGGGGCGUCUUACAGGGAGGAUAUCCUGUUCAGAACAUCUGUCACAGGCCAGCUUUUAUCUCUGACCUCCACAUCAACACCAUCCAAAUGAGAGACGGCGAAAGAGAGGGAGGAGAGAAGGAGAGGAUACCUCUGCAAUACCAAUUAAUACCAAUUGUUGGCUGCAAUCAUUUCAAUACAACACACACAUUUGAAAACAUUGCUUGCUGUAUGCCAAGGUUGGCAUUGGAAUAAGGGUGAGACAGCGGCAUAAUGAAUUAAUGAUAACCCUUCCAUAAAGUGAUGAUCUACCCUGUCAGUAUGUGUAAAAAGAAUGGUGUCUACACUACAAUAUCUUCAUGCAUACAGUACAUUCAGAAAGUAUUCAGACCCCUUGACUUUUUCCAAAAUGUGUUACGUUACUUAUUCUAAAAUUGAUUUUUUUUAAACGCCUCAUCAGUUUAUACACAAUACCCCAUGAUGACAAAGCAAAACACGUUUCAUUUUUGUGUGCAAAUUUAUACAACUAAAUAAAUGAAAUAACAAAUUUACAUAAGUAUUUAUAAGUAUUUAGACCCAUAAGUAUUUAGACCCUUUACUCAGUACUUUGUUGAAGCAUCUUUAGCAGCGAUUACAGCCUCAAGUUGUCUUGGGUAUGACGCUACAAGCUUGGCACACAUGUAUUUGGGGAGUUUCUCUCAUUCUUCUCUGCAGAUCUUCUCAAGCUCUGUCAGGUUGGAUGGGGAGCGUCGCAGAACAGCUAUUUUCAGGUCUCCAGAGAUGUUCGAUCGGGUUCAAGUCCGGGCUCUGACUGAGCCACUCAAGGACAUUCAGAGACUUGUCCCGAAGCCACUCCGGCGUUGUCUUGGCUGUGUGCUUAAGGUCGUUGUACUGUUGAAAGGUAAACCUUCACCCCAGUCUGAGGUCCUGAGUGCUCUGGAGCAAGCUUUCAUCAAGGAUCUCUAUGUACUUUUCUCCGUUCACCUUUCCCUCGAUCCUAACUAGUCUCCCAGUCCCUGCCCCUGAAAAAACAUCCCGAUGCAUGAUUCUGCCACCACAUUCCUUCACCGUAGGGAUGGUGCCAGGUUUCCUCCAGACGUGACGCUUGGCACUCAGGUCAAAGAGUUCAAUCUUGGUUUCAUCAGACCAGAGAAUCUUGUUUCCUAUGGUCUGAGAGUCCUUUAGGUGGCUUUUGUAAAACUCCAAGCGGGCUGUUCCUUUUACUGAGGAUUAGCUUCCAUCUGACCUGACCUGAUUGGUGGAGUGCUGCAGAGAUGGUUGUCCAAAUGGAAGGUUUUCCCAUCUCCACAGAGGAACUCUAGACCUCUGUCACAGUGACCAUCGGGUUCUUGGUCACCUCCAUAACCGUGGUCCUUCUCCCCCAAUUGCUCAGUUUGGCCGGACGGCUAGCUCUAGGAAGAGUCUUGGUGGUUCCAAACGUCUUCCAUUUAAGAAUGAUGAUCAGGCGUGCGGGUGCAGGCAGCGAACGGUUGAAAAGCAUGCAUUUGGUUUUACUAGCGUUUAAGAGCAGUUGGAGGCCACGGAAGGAGUGUUGUAUGGCAUUGAAGCUCGUUUGGAGGUUAGAUAGCACAGUGUCCAAGGACGGGCCGGAAGUAUAUAGAAUGGUGUCGUCUGCAUAGAGGUGGAUCAGGGAUGUACAUUUAGGUGGUUUAGACAUAGAUGCUCACAAUUGCAGGACAUUAGAACAUUGAUGUGAAAUGAAUAUGAUACAUGAUGUCAUUUUCACUUCCAGACCCUUCCUCAAUGAUCCCCCUCUACAUCGGUCUCCGUGCCGGUAUCUAUGUUCUCAUCCUUCUGGUGGAAUCUCUCCUGUGUUUUCUCUGGUGUAGACACGGAAGAGAACUCAAGUCUGCACUAUGCUAUAAGGAUGUGACCUUGCUGGGGAGUUCAAGUUGGAUAUGGCUGGAGAGUAUGAUGUGUCAAUGUUUUUAUAAACCAGAAGUCAAUAGGAGGAGAAGUUAUUCAAUUUGAACAAUUUGCAAUUUCCAUGCACCUUGUGAAUGUAUUUUUAUACUAUACACAGUGUUUAAUGUGUAAUGUGUUUGUAUAUGUAAAAUAUAGCAAUUUUAUUAGCAUUACAUUUUUUUCUGCUCUAGUAUGUUGUGUUUUUCCAGUGAAAAUAAAGCUUGUACAGUAUAUUGUAAAUAAUUGUUGGAAAUGUUGUUUCUUUUCUCUGGAAGAGAAAUUGUGUUGUUUAGAUUACACAGCUGUUGUGUUUCAACGGUCUGUCUCAUGAUGGUCAUUGAUCUACCUGAGCUUUAGCUGGGUGUUUUGUGUCUGUUUGUCAUGUAGACGUGGCCACAGUGGGGGUACUGCUCAUUGUAAGGUUCUGCUUUACUUUUUUUUAAGUCAACCUUGUGUUCUUUUUCUUUGUGUUCUUGAACGUAGCCCUGUUUCUUUGUGUUCUUGAACGUAGCCCUGUUUCUUUGUGUUCUGGAACGUAGCCCUGUUUCUUUGUGUUCUGGAACGUAGCCCUGUUUCUUUGUGUUCUGGAACGUAGCCCUG